RNAcentral lists this ribosomal RNA (285 nucleotides) under Aegla itacolomiensis. Its description in RNAcentral is "partial 12S small subunit ribosomal RNA". Lineage: Eukaryota; Metazoa; Arthropoda; Malacostraca; Decapoda; Aeglidae. The record is from RNAcentral.
UAUUUUAGUCUUGUUAGAGGAACCUGUUUUAUAAUCGAUAAACCACGUAUAUUUCACUUAUUUUAAAUAACUUGUAUACCGUCAUUAUUAGAUAACUUUCAAAAAAUUAGUUAUUAAAAUUAAAUUAAAUUAAAUAUAUUAGAUCAAGGUGCAGUUAAUAAAUAAGAAAAAAUGGGUUACAAUAAAAUUUAUUUAAAACGAAUUAUAUAAAUGUAAAAAUAUAUGAAGGAGGAUUUAAUUGUAAUUUUCUUAUAAAAUAAUAAUAUGAUAAUAGCUCUAAAAUAU